CGUAACGAUGGCCACACUGUCUCCUCCUGAGACUC
This 35-nucleotide small RNA is filed under the name Bombyx mori (domestic silkworm). Its description in RNAcentral is "ovarian small RNA-14531". The record is from RNAcentral. Lineage: Eukaryota; Metazoa; Arthropoda; Insecta; Lepidoptera; Bombycidae.